CUCACUGAUAUUCAUAAAGAGGGCAAUGUUAAUAAAAAGUGAUGUGAGUAGUACAAGAGACUUCUAGACAGGAUGAAGUUUGACAUCAGUUGAACUAAAGAGGGGGGGUUAGAUAGGUGUGUGAUACCAUUUGGAAUAUAAUAUAACUUCCUGUAGCUUUGUGGCAUCACUCAAGAAAAAUUAUAUACACACACACUCUAGUCUGUCUUCCCAUAAAGCUAUGAUACAGUUAC
Pelobates cultripes (western spadefoot toad) is the source of this 233-nucleotide non-coding RNA. Lineage: Eukaryota; Metazoa; Chordata; Amphibia; Anura; Pelobatidae. The record is from the annotation of a GenBank genome assembly.